AACGAACGCUGGCGGCAUGCCUAACACAUGCAAGUCGAACAAGACCUUCGGGUCUAGUGGCGCACGGGUGCGUAACGCGUGGGAACCUGCCCUUAGGUUCGGAAUAACUCCCCGAAAGGGGUGCUAAUACCGGAUAAUGUCUUCGGACCAAAGAUUUAUCGCCUUUGGAUGGGCCCGCGUUGGAUUAGCUAGUUGGUAGGGUAAAAGCCUACCAAGGCGACGAUCCAUAGCUGGUCUGAGAGGAUGAUCAGCCACACUGGGACUGAGACACGGCCCAGACUCCUACGGGAGGCAGCAGUGGGGAAUAUUGGACAAUGGGCGAAAGCCUGAUCCAGCAAUGCCGCGUGAGUGAUGAAGGCCUUAGGGUUGUAAAGCUCUUUUAACCGGGAUGAUAAUGACAGUACCGGGAGAAUAAGCUCCGGCUAACUCCGUG
Molecule: ribosomal RNA, 433 nt
Filed under: uncultured bacterium
Lineage: Bacteria
Description: partial 16S ribosomal RNA
Rfam family: Bacterial small subunit ribosomal RNA
Source: RNAcentral